GCCCCAGUAACUCAGUGGUAGAGUGCUUGUCUCGUAAUAAACUUCUUAAGAAGAAGUUUAAUCAAGAAGCCGAGAAAACAAGAAGCCGAGGGUUCAACUCCCUCCUGGGGCU
Molecule: transfer RNA, 112 nt
Filed under: mine drainage metagenome
Description: tRNA-Thr
Rfam family: tRNA
About the family: Transfer RNA (tRNA) molecules are approximately 80 nucleotides in length. Their secondary structure includes four short double-helical elements and three loops (D, anti-codon, and T loops). Further hydrogen bonds mediate the characteristic L-shaped molecular structure. tRNAs have two regions of fundamental functional importance: the anti-codon, which is responsible for specific mRNA codon recognition, and the 3' end, to which the tRNAs corresponding amino acid is attached (by aminoacyl-tRNA synthetases). tRNAs cope with the degeneracy of the genetic code in two manners: having more than one tRNA (with a specific anti-codon) for a particular amino acid; and 'wobble' base-pairing, i.e. permitting non-standard base-pairing at the 3rd anti-codon position.
Source: RNAcentral